Molecule: transfer RNA, 62 nt
Filed under: Chizuella bonneti
Lineage: Eukaryota; Metazoa; Arthropoda; Insecta; Orthoptera; Tettigoniidae
Description: Metrioptera bonneti tRNA-Cys
Rfam family: tRNA
About the family: Transfer RNA (tRNA) molecules are approximately 80 nucleotides in length.
Source: RNAcentral
AGCUUUAUAGUCAAUAAUGACAUCAGACUGCAAUUCUGAAGGAGUAGGAACUACUAAGGCUU